This 97-nucleotide signal recognition particle RNA is filed under the name Paracoccus sp. JM45. Its description in RNAcentral is "signal recognition particle sRNA small type". It matches the Rfam family "Bacterial small signal recognition particle RNA". Rfam says of the family: The signal recognition particle (SRP) is a universally conserved ribonucleoprotein involved in the co-translational targeting of proteins to membranes. The record is from RNAcentral. Lineage: Bacteria; Pseudomonadati; Pseudomonadota; Alphaproteobacteria; Rhodobacterales; Paracoccaceae.
GAGAGGUUGGCGCGGGCAGAUGUCCCGCCAAAUCGGUCAGGUCCGGAAGGAAGCAGCCGUAACGGGAUCCGUUUGGGUCGCUGUCCAGCCUCUCACC